UCCGGUUUAACACCGGCAGUCCCGCUAGAGUGCCCAGCAUAACCUGAUGGCAACUAGAGGCAGGGGUUUCGCUCGUUAGAGGACUUAACCCGACACUUCACAGCACGAGCUGACGACAGCCAUGCAGCACCUGUGCGCGUUCCACCCAGAGGGUGUGGCCGCCUUUUCGGGCGGUUAAUCCGCGCAUGUCAAGCCCAGGAUAAGGUUCUUCGCGUUGCUUCGAAUUGAGCCACAUGCUCCACCGCUUGUGUGAGCCCCCGUCAAUUCCUUUGAGUUUUAAUCUUGCGACCGUACUCCCCAGGCGGCACACUAAUCAAUUUUUCUUCGAUCCCGGUGGCGUCAGAGCCUCCGAGAUCAAGUGUGCAUCGUUUACGGCGUGGACUAC
Molecule: unclassified non-coding RNA, 385 nt
Filed under: uncultured Phycisphaeraceae bacterium
Lineage: Bacteria; Pseudomonadati; Planctomycetota; Phycisphaerae; Phycisphaerales; Phycisphaeraceae
Description: contains 16S-23S intergenic spacer region
Source: RNAcentral